Non-coding RNA from Mycena latifolia, 77 nucleotides. NCBI's taxonomy places the organism in Eukaryota, Fungi, Basidiomycota, Agaricomycetes, Agaricales, Mycenaceae. The record is from the annotation of a GenBank genome assembly.
GGCUUGAUGGUGUAGCGGGAACACAGCUGUUUAAUAUCUGAAGGAUAGAGUCCAUUGUUCGAUUCAAGGUCAAGCCA